AAGAAGGAGAAAAAGAAACAGAAGAAAGAAAAGAAAGAGAAGGAGAAAGAAAAAGAGAAAGACCAGAAGAAGAGAAAGUCUUCGUCAUCAAAUAACCCUAAUCCGGAUAACGAGAAAAGGUCAAAAAGGGAUGACCACCGACACCGAAGUCAUAGAAAGUGCCCAGCUUCCGGAAAAGACAGAACUUCAGACUCCCGGAAAAGGACACGGGAUGAGUCCACACAUUACUUCCCAGCCAAGAAGAGGCAUGACACGGAUUCAGACAAUUGACCCAACCUUGUAAAACAAACCCAGAUUUACCCAUCAUGUCGAUGCUUUGACCGUCAAGCGGAAACGAAUUCUGGUUUGGUUCAAAAUUCCGCAUCCUUUUUCUUGACGGGACAUUGUUCUCCCCCCACAUCCAUUGGCACCGCUGCUCAAAAAUUAUUAUUAUUAUUUUUCUCAAAAGGAUCCUGUUCUUUAACGGACAUAAAAAAAUAGCCAUGCUAACCUGGUUCAGAGCAAGACGGUAAAACUAUCGCCAAAUGCCAGGUGCAAAAUAAGGAAUGAUGAGAAGUUUUUGUUUUUCCUCCCAACGUUGGUUAAAAAGAACUCUUUGAUGGCUUGCGUAGAAUUUUUUUUUUUAAAGCAAUAGAAUUUGGGGGAUCCCAGGUAACGGGAGUUACUUCCAAGUUGCGAAAAAUCCGAUUCUGAAUUUCAUCAGGCCAAACCAAGGAAUGGAAACAGUUUAUGGGAUUUGUUGGGGUUUUUGUGUGUGUGUGUGUGUGUGUGGUUGCGACUGUCAGCCGAUUUCAGAAGCAGCCUCAGAUCUUGUAAUUAAAGAACAGAUUGAUUACAGG
Molecule: non-coding RNA, 839 nt
Organism: Thamnophis sirtalis
Lineage: Eukaryota; Metazoa; Chordata; Lepidosauria; Squamata; Natricidae
Source: RefSeq, a predicted model, not a curated record